Molecule: ribosomal RNA, 724 nt
Filed under: uncultured Nitrososphaerota archaeon
Lineage: Archaea; Thermoproteati; Nitrososphaerota
Description: bacterial SSU rRNA
Rfam family: Archaeal small subunit ribosomal RNA
Source: RNAcentral
UUGAUCCUGCCGGACCCGACUGCUAUCAGAGUGAGACUAAGCCAUGCGAGUCAACGUAUGAAUAAUACGUGGCGAACGGCUCAGUAACACGUAGUCAACAUGCCCAAAGGACGUGGAUAACCUCGGGAAACUGAGGAUAAACCGCGAUAGGUCAUAAGUACUGGAAUGUUUUAUGGCUCAAAUCUACAUGGCCUCUGGAUUGGACUGCGGCCGAUCAGGCUGUUGGUGAGGUAAUGGCCCACCAAACCUGUUACCGGUACGGGCUCUGAGAGGAGGAGCCCGGAGAUGGACACUGAGACAAGGGCCCAGGCCCUAUGGGGCGCAGCAGGCGCGAAACCUCUGCAAUAGGCGAAAGCUUGACAGGGUUACUCUGAGUGAUUCCCGCUAAGGGAAUCUUUUGGCAUCUCUAAAAACGAUGCAGAAUAAGGGGUGGGCAAGUCUGGUGUCAGCCGCCGCGGUAAUACCAGCACCCCGAGUGGUCGGGACGAUUAUUGGGCCUAAAGCAUCCGUAGCCGGUCUUGCAAGUCUUCCGUUAAAUCCACCUGCUUAACAGAUGGGCUGCGGAAGAUACUACAAGACUAGGAGGCGGGAGAGGCAAGCGGUACUCAGUGGGUAGGGGUAAAAUCCUCUGAUCCAUUGAAGACCACCAGUGGCGAAGGCGGCUUGCCAGAACGCGCUCGACGGUGAGGGAUGAAAGCUGGGGGAGCAAACCGGAUUAGAUACC